UACGUAGGCAGCAAGCGUUGUUCGGAGUUACUGGGCGUAAAGAGUGCGUAGGCGGUGUUCCAAGUCUGUUGUGAAAUCUCCCGGCUCAACUGGGAGGGUGCGGCGGAAACUGGGACGCUGGAGUACGGGAGAGGUAAGCGGAAUUCCUGGUGUAGCGGUGAAAUGCGUAGAUAUCAGGAGGAACACCUGCGGUGUAGACGGCUUACUGGACCGUAACUGACGCUGAGGCACGAAAGCGUGGGUAGCAAACAGG
This 253-nucleotide ribosomal RNA is filed under the name uncultured bacterium. Its description in RNAcentral is "partial 16S ribosomal RNA". It matches the Rfam family "Bacterial small subunit ribosomal RNA", at positions 524 to 776 of the family's 1533-position model. The record is from RNAcentral.